CGGACGGGUGAGUAACGCGUAGGAAUCUACCCAGUAGUGGGGGACAACAGUCGGAAACGGCUGCUAAUACCGCAUACGCCCUAUGGGGGAAAGCGGGGGACCUUCGGGCCUCGCGCUAUUGGAUGAGCCUGCGUCGGAUUAGCUUGUUGGUGAGGUAAAAGCUCACCAAGGCGACGAUCCGUAGCUGGUCUGAGAGGAUGAUCAGCCACACUGGAACUGAGACACGGUCCAG
Molecule: ribosomal RNA, 232 nt
Filed under: uncultured bacterium
Lineage: Bacteria
Description: partial 16S ribosomal RNA
Rfam family: Bacterial small subunit ribosomal RNA
Source: RNAcentral